This 466-nucleotide ribosomal RNA is filed under the name uncultured bacterium. RNAcentral describes it as "partial 16S ribosomal RNA". It matches the Rfam family "Bacterial small subunit ribosomal RNA", at positions 28 to 507 of the family's 1533-position model. The record is from RNAcentral.
GAUGAACGCUGGCGGCGUGCUUAACACAUGCCAGUCGAACGGAAAGGCUCCUGCUUGCAGGGGUACUCGAGUGGCGAACGGGUGAGUAACACGUGGGUGAUCUGCCCUGCACUUCGGGAUAAGCCUGGGAAACUGGGUCUAAUACCGGAUAGGACGAUGGUUUGGAUGCCAUUGUGGAAAGUUUUUUCGGUGUGGGAUGAGCUCGCGGCCUAUCAGCUUGUUGGUGGGGUAAUGGCCUACCAAGGCGUCGACGGGUAGCCGGCCUGAGAGGGUGUACGGCCACAUUGGGACUGAGAUACGGCCCAGACUCCUACGGGAGGCGGCAGUGGGGAAUAUUGCACAAUGGGCGCAAGCCUGAUGCAGCGACGCCGCGUGGGGGAUGACGGCCUUCGGGUUGUAAACUCCUUUCGCUAGGGACGAAGCGCAAGUGACGGUACCUGGAGAAGAAGCACCGGCUAACUACGUG